Long non-coding RNA from Pezoporus occidentalis (night parrot), 4195 nucleotides. RefSeq lists it as uncharacterized. The record is from RefSeq and is a predicted model, not a curated record. The transcript is spliced from 3 exons. NCBI's taxonomy places the organism in Eukaryota, Metazoa, Chordata, Aves, Psittaciformes, Psittacidae.
GUAAGUGCAUUUCAUUCCAAGGGAAACUGUAUGCUCUGUACAACAGAAAUUAACAUGCAACAUGACAGAAAAGGCAAGGGAAACUGGUAGCAUUCUUUUAAUCUGUGUUUCUUUCACUGGUGGCAUAUCUAAUGGUGUAAAACAGUUUUAACCCCCCAUAUACCAAUAAUUCUACCCCUAUUUUAACAAGCCGUGGACACAAAAUGAUGAGAGAAGAUGAUGAGUCUACACACUUAGAGAGACAGCAAAGAGAUUCUGUGAAACUGAGUAAUUACCACAAGACACACAGACAUUAACAGAGACUUGAUGUGACCACAGCAAUAGCUCCAGGUUUCCUUGACACUUGUCAUAGGGCUGACGACUUUGUUGGCCUUUUGCUGUCCCCAUGAGCUUGGACGAAGUAGCCGGAGGAAAGGACAGCAUCUUCCUGACUUCCACCUAAAAUUCCAAAGGUCUGUUGGAUUAGUUUUGCUAUAAUUGGAUCAUUUCCUUGUGUUGAUAUACGUGCAAGGCAUGUUGCCACCCUGGCUUCUGUCUUGGAAAAUCUCAGCUUGUAUUCUUGAGUAGAGCAUCUUACUGAUUUUAAAGAAUUCCAACAGGCCAAAAGAUCCAACAGGAUCUUUUCCUUGUUGAAGGCAUGAAGAGUUCAUAGAAUAAUCUGGCUUUUUCUUGUCAUCCCAUCUCAACCAUAGGGUAAGUCUGUAAGGUAAGGAUACUUAACAGUUAUUAACCCCUGGAAAGUAAGUACCUCACUGCCAAACAGUUGUCCUUCCAAUCUAAUAUUUCUAUCAGCAAAAAUCCCUGCUCCUAAUGCGUUUAGGAAGGUUUACAUAAAGCUGGUUAGGUUUAAAUGAUGCACACAUUGUUUUUUCUUGAAAUCAAGAUUAAUCAGGCAAAAAUCCUGCCUUUAGGGUUUGGGCUUCUUGGAACCAAAAGGUCAAAAUGAGAUCUGGAAGUUAAGAUGGUUAGGAACAGACACAAGCUUUUGCUCAGAACCUCUGGCAUUCACAGCACAACAGUAGCACACUGGUCAAACUAUUCAGUGUACGAUGUACAAUGUAUUAUGACACGUUACAAAAGAUGGAUUGUACGUGCAUCUUUACACAGCUCCGAGAUUGUGCCUUCCCUGGGAGGAGCCAAUGUGCCAACAGUGAUAUUUGAUAGAACAGUGCUUCACUGUACGCAAACUUUUACAUAGAGAGUAAAACACAUGAAGGCAGCAGGCCAUAAAGUAUGUACACACACAUAUGAAUGCACACACACAAAGCACUCGAGUGCUGUGAAGCACACAGUAAUAGGGCAUCUAGUACCUGAAGACCAUCUCUAUACCUUUACAUCUGGAAUAUGUCAUUCACGUUAGAGUGAAUUUUUCAGUACUAAAUAAAACACUUAAAGGAAAUAUAAGUGAACAAAGACACAUAUGAAAAUAGGAAUGUGUAUUUACAAGAGAGAUUAUUGUAUUUGGUCUCUUCAUAUCUACUAUGAGGAAUGUUCACUUUCUGCCAUUAAAAAUUCACGUACUAUAAACAUUAUAGAUGCAAGGGCUCCAAUUGUGCAAAUUCUAGCACAUGAUCUUAAGCCUUUGCAAGAUAGGGACCUAGGAUCCUAAGGCCUUGAGCAAAUAGACACUCAGAAACAUUUGCAGUCUCAAGCAAAGCAGGAAUAUGCUGGCAGAUUUGUUUAAGUGCUGCAGCUGGCAAAGAAUCUGGUCUUUGAGGAAUGCUGGAAAGUCAUAGGAAAGGUCACUUUUCAUAUCAGAAUAAAGCGCAAUAGAAAUACAUCUGUUCAGUAAAAGGUACCUCUCUGUCACUAAAGCAUGAAAUGCUGUUUGUUUCUCUGCAAAAUGCAAUAGCUUCAUAUGAUGACAGUCUGCAUAAUUCAGCUUAAAGAAAUUAAUUUAAAUGAAAUACAGGCUUUAGGUUUAAUUCUCAUCCUAAAUCUUAGUUGUUUUUUUCUUUUUUAAAGAGAUCUACAUUAAUAUGUGAUGGAGGUGGCUAUUAAAUUGCUAUAACCAGCGUGAUUAUUAGAAUUUAUCAUGUAGUCUGGAACUUCUGAAGUACUGUCUCCAAAAGAAGUAGAAAAGAGAUAAAUACAGAAACAACUGAGGCAUACAGCUACAUGCCAUACACUCCGCUGCAGAGGCUGCACAAAAUGAUGGCUCUACUGGAUACCUCCAAAACCUUUUGUGGUGAUCCAUACCCAGUGUUUCAGUGUCUGCGCUGGAUAGUUUGAUGGAUCUGAACUGGAAUGACGUUCCACACAGAAGAGACAGAAACAAGUGCAGAAACCUUGGCAGUGCUGCUGUUGGCUCUUUGCUGGUGGUGAGGAUAUGGAGACUAAUCAACAGUGUAGCUCGGGACACGACACACAGAGGCAUUCUCACCUUUCUGUGUUUCUACUGUUGGCCACUAAUGGCUUCAGCAACAUUCCCCCCAGUGCUCCCAAGAACUUUGGUGAUCCCUCACUAGUGAUGUAGGCAUCAGUAAGGCAGCCACACAGACAAGACUUUGAGGAACAAAAUCCAACCAGACCUGAAAAACCGAAGACUCAAAAUGAGUUGCUCCCCACCAAUUUCAUGCACGGUUUUCUUUUUUACAUGUUGGCCAAGCAAAACUUAUUCAAAUAUGCUCUGUUAUCUGACUGAAAAUUGACAGUGAUAAAACUCUGUAUUGCAACACAGAGAACAGGUAAAUACGCAAUGGGAAUGCAGUGCUAAUAGAGCUUAUAUGCUUUUUGGAUUUACUGUGCUUCAGCAAGCAAAUUCAGCAAACCUGUGUUUUUGUCUGUGCUUAGUUUUUUGGAUUUUGAUCAACCUCUAGCAAUACCAAAUGAAUCCAGUUAAGAUGCUACUUCUGUAUGCUACAUGGUUAACUGCGUGCAAAACUUUCAGCUAAGUGCUUAAGGCACAACACAACUUCUUAUCAUACUGUAUGAAGCAAGUAUCAGAGAAGAAAAGCUAUUUUUAAACUAGUCUCACUGUCUUCAGCCUGUUUUAGAGCAGCUCUUGUUUUCAUAAACUUCACAAGUUCAUACGCUAUUUUUAUGAGAGAUAAUAAUCAGGAUCGUGCAGACGGAUGUUGGCACAGUAACACAUACAGUAAAACAUUUCUCAAAAUACUAGUCAUUAUUCUCAAUUAUGUUUUCUGUUUGAUUGUUAAAAGCCAAUCUUGUUGACCCAGCAAUAUACACUUGGCUUUGCAGCCCCUGUUGCUGCUUAGUAAUGUCCUGGGAAAUCCUAUGCCUUUGAAACUCUAUGCAAAUCAUCUAAAAGGAGCCAACGUUAACACUCAGGUUGAAUUAGAAAAUAGGAAAACACAAGAAGUAGUUUAAGGACAAAGCUGUCUCCAGCUAAAAUUAAGCACUGAUUCACAGUGACAGUAUGAAAACACUAAACUGUACAUUAAAAUUCCUAAACAUCACUGCUAUUCACAGCAGGCCAAUGCAAACAUUCGUUACUUCUGUGUCUGAGAGUGAAUUUGUAAGUUAGGAAAAUGAUGUCAGUAUCAAAGAAUUCAAACCUAAUUUUAUCUGAUUGGCGAGUGAGUCUGAGUACUGAGAUACUAAAUAAAUAUUUGACAGCACCAUUCCAUAGUAUAAUUUAUUUCACAUAUGCACUAAAUUAAAAGGAAAGCUUUUCUAAAUUGCAGGCAAUUUCCAGGCAAACCACAAAGCAGGACGAUGGUGAUGGCUACCAUUGUGUCCUGGUAGAGCACCUUCUUACCCUUGCAAAGGUCAAGAGAAUUUAGAGCAAAUAACCAAAACCACGAGGCAGAGAUUGUUACAGGAGGUCCACUUCUGUCCCAUUUGUGACAGGGAAUUCAAUUGUAUACCACUGACUGCUCCUGCUCAUGGGCGAGGAGGAAACAAUGCUGAAUGCCUGAGCUUGUAUUUGUGUCAGUAGAGCUACCACUAUGGAUAAGAAGUGCAGAGUUUUGCCUAGCAAUGCACAUUGCUGGGAAAAUUCAUUCCAGCAUGAUAGGGCUGUUGCAAAGAUCCUGUUUAAAUCUAUGAUGUUUCUCAGUGAGCAAGUGGAAAUAUGUUAUUUGUGCAAUGACUGAUGCACAUGGGCACACAAUGGCGCAUGGAGAGACACAGGAGGUAUGCAAGAGCUAUUAGAUGUGAUGCACAGGCACAGAGCUCAGAUGUCCUUCCAAAGAGGAAACUGAGAUAAAACAUGCACCAUUUUUGUUGUUGU